RNAcentral lists this ribosomal RNA (700 nucleotides) under uncultured bacterium. RNAcentral describes it as "bacterial SSU rRNA". It matches the Rfam family "Bacterial small subunit ribosomal RNA", at positions 8 to 703 of the family's 1533-position model. The record is from RNAcentral.
AGAGUUUGAUCCUGGCUCAGAUUGAACGCUGGCGGCAGGCCUAACACAUGCAAGUCGAGCGGAUGAGUGGAGCUUGCUCCAUGAUUCAGCGGCGGACGGGUGAGUAAUGCCUAGGAAUCUGCCUGGUAGUGGGGGACAACGUUUCGAAAGGAACGCUAAUACCGCAUACGUCCUACGGGAGAAAGCAGGGGACCUUCGGGCCUUGCGCUAUCAGAUGAGCCUAGGUCGGAUUAGCUAGUUGGUGAGGUAACGGCUCACCAAGGCGACGAUCCGUAACUGGUCUGAGAGGAUGAUCAGUCACACUGGAACUGAGACACGGUCCAGACUCCUACGGGAGGCAGCAGUGGGGAAUAUUGGACAAUGGGCGAAAGCCUGAUCCAGCCAUGCCGCGUGUGUGAAGAAGGUCUUCGGAUUGUAAAGCACUUUAAGUUGGGAGGAAGGGCAGUAAGUUAAUACCUUGCUGUUUUGACGUUACCGACAGAAUAAGCACCGGCUAACUUCGUGCCAGCAGCCGCGGUAAUACGAAGGGUGCAAGCGUUAAUCGGAAUUACUGGGCGUAAAGCGCGCGUAGGUGGUUCAGCAAGUUGGAUGUGAAAGCCCCGGGCUCAACCUGGGAACUGCAUCCAAAACUACUGAGCUAGAGUACGGUAGAGGGUGGUGGAAUUUCCUGUGUAGCGGUGAAAUGCGUAGAUAUAGGAAG